CCUGGAGGACCCGCCGGCGUGGGAAACCUAGACAUGCCAGCAUGCGACCUGGGGAGGCCGGCACUGCAGGAGCCUCCCUGCCAUGCUGCGCUGACAUGUCCCCAGCCUCCUCCAGAGAAAUGUCAGCUGGCUGGCAUGUGGACAGCAGAGCCGGGGGUGUCGGAGUGGGAGGGAGGUGGCGCCUGAGCACAGCGCGAGACAACAGCUUUUUCCUCAUCCACAGGUGCCCGUGCCGCAUAUGUGGGCGCAGGGCAGGGCAGCCAGGCCUGACCCCGCUACAAGACUGACACCUGUGAGGGGUAACAGAGAUGUGAAGGGGGUGGGACAGGAAGCGCUCCUCGGCCACUCCACAGCACGACUGGACCUUCUGCGUGCCGGCCGCUGUGAAGCACUAGGACACGAUAGAUGUAGACGUGGCCCUCAGGGGCUUCCUGGGGCUUUCCCUGACACCCAGCGCAGGUCCAAGUCCCUGCCUUUCGCUCCUGGGGUGUCCCAGCUCGUCCUUGCUUGCGCUUGCCUCGGUGGGUCAGCAGGCGUGUCUGCGAUCGUUGCUUUCUGCCUGUGUCUGUCUCUAACCAACAUGCUCUGCUCCGUCUGCGUUCUAGAGCCAAGCUCAGGGCCUGGCAGGUACUCAAAAUAGGUAUUGUAUGAGUGCAAAGAGUCACUUCUGGCCACCUCAGUGUGGCCCCUCACAGUCCCAGUGCUGGCCCUUCAGUAGCAGGGUUCCGUGGCCUCAGCUAGGCGUUGGGGGCGAGUGAGUCAAGCCGUGUCUGGCUUUAGGAAUAGAGAAUCCCGGGUGUAGCCAUAGGCGGGGCAGCAUUCAGAGCAGAGCUGUGGCAGCGGAGAGGAGAAGGUUCCAGAUCUUAGAACCCCUAGCCUUUCUUCUGCUGCCAAGGAGAGCCCGGGGAGAGACUCUGGGGUGGGCAGAGGAUGUGCCUGCCGUCCCACUCAUUUGGAUCCACAGUUGGGCAGGCCGCGGUGCGGCAGGCGUAGAGUUGGCACCUUCGCCGCCAUUGUGGGGAUUGAGGAAUCCUCCCGCAUGUUCAGAGAGGCCGGGUGCCAGAUAAUUUUUCAGAGUUGGCGUUGCGUCUGCAGAGGAUACGAUCAGGCAAUAAGAGUGUGUGACCUCAGAGGUCUGAGAAAUUCCUACAGUGGGAACCCCCAGCCUGAUGAUGCGGCCUCCCUCCGGGUACAGUUUUUGUGUCAAAAGCCAGCUGGAUCAAUAACGUGGACCCACCUCUGGCCACAUACUUGUGAGGAAGGAGCCUACCUUACCCAGGAUCUCGGCCUGGGACCAGGGAAUUUUCUGGGACUGUCAUCUGAACACUGGGCCCUUGGUUCCACAGGGCUCUGUGAAGGCAGUGGGGUCUCUCCUUGUGUUUUUGAACUACUGUCAACGUCACCCCAAACUUAACAGAAAUGGCGCGUUUACC
Tupaia belangeri chinensis (Chinese tree shrew) is the source of this 1433-nucleotide long non-coding RNA. RefSeq lists it as uncharacterized. The transcript is spliced from 3 exons. Lineage: Eukaryota; Metazoa; Chordata; Mammalia; Scandentia; Tupaiidae. The record is from RefSeq and is a predicted model, not a curated record.